Molecule: ribosomal RNA, 2900 nt
Filed under: Klebsiella quasipneumoniae
Lineage: Bacteria; Pseudomonadati; Pseudomonadota; Gammaproteobacteria; Enterobacterales; Enterobacteriaceae
Description: 23S ribosomal RNA
Source: RNAcentral
UUAAGCGACUAAGCGUACACGGUGGAUGCCCUGGCAGUCAGAGGCGAUGAAGGACGUGCUAAUCUGCGAAAAGCGUCGGUAAGGUGAUAUGAACCGUUAUAGCCGGCGAUGUCCGAAUGGGGAAACCCAGUGCAAUUCGUUGCACUAUCGUUAACUGAAUACAUAGGUUAACGAGGCGAACCGGGGGAACUGAAACAUCUAAGUACCCCGAGGAAAAGAAAUCAACCGAGAUUCCCCCAGUAGCGGCGAGCGAACGGGGAGCAGCCCAGAGUCUGAAUCAGCUUGUGUGUUAGUGGAACGGUCUGGAAAGUCCGACGGUACAGGGUGAUAGUCCCGUACACCAAAAUGCACAGGYUGUGAACUCGAAGAGUAGGGCGGGACACGUGGUAUCCUGUCUGAAUAUGGGGGGACCAUCCUCCAAGGCUAAAUACUCCUGACUGACCGAUAGUGAACCAGUACCGUGAGGGAAAGGCGAAAAGAACCCCGGCGAGGGGAGUGAAAAAGAACCUGAAACCGUGUACGUACAAGCAGUGGGAGCACCUUCGUGGUGUGACUGCGUACCUUUUGUAUAAUGGGUCAGCGACUUAUAUUCUGUAGCAAGGUUAACCGUAUAGGGGAGCCGCAGGGAAACCGAGUCUUAACUGGGCGUUAAGUUGCAGGGUAUAGACCCGAAACCCGGUGAUCUAGCCAUGGGCAGGUUGAAGGUUGGGUAACACUAACUGGAGGACCGAACCGACUAAUGUUGAAAAAUUAGCGGAUGACUUGUGGCUGGGGGUGAAAGGCCAAUCAAACCGGGAGAUAGCUGGUUCUCCCCGAAAGCUAUUUAGGUAGCGCCUCGUGAAYUCAUCUUCGGGGGUAGAGCACUGUUUCGGCUAGGGGGUCAUCCCGACUUACCAACCCGAUGCAAACUACGAAUACCGAAGAAUGUUAUCACGGGAGACACACGGCGGGUGCUAACGUCCGUCGUGAAGAGGGAAACAACCCAGACCGCCAGCUAAGGUCCCAAAGUCAUGGUUAAGUGGGAAACGAUGUGGGAAGGCACAGACAGCCAGGAUGUUGGCUUAGAAGCAGCCAUCAUUUAAAGAAAGCGUAAUAGCUCACUGGUCGAGUCGGCCUGCGCGGAAGAUGUAACGGGGCUAAACCAUGCACCGAAGCUGCGGCAGCGACACGAUGYGUUGUUGGGUAGGGGAGCGUUCUGUAAGCCUGCGAAGGUGRCCUGUGAGGGYUGCUGGAGGUAUCAGAAGUGCGAAUGCUGACAUAAGUAACGAUAAAGCGGGUGAAAAGCCCGCUCGCCGGAAGACCAAGGGUUCCUGUCCAACGUUAAUCGGGGCAGGGUGAGUCGACCCCUAAGGCGAGGCCGAAAGGCGUAGUCGAUGGGAAACAGGUUAAUAUUCCUGUACUUGGUGUUACUGCGAAGGGGGGACGGAGAAGGCUAUGUUAGCCGGGCGACGGUUGUCCCGGUUUAAGCAUGUAGGCUGGUUAUCCAGGCAAAUCCGGAUAAUCAAGGCUGAGGUGUGAUGACGAGGCACUACGGUGCUGAAGUAACAAAUGCCCUGCUUCCAGGAAAAGCCUCUAAGCAUCAGGUAACAUCAAAUCGUACCCCAAACCGACACAGGUGGUCAGGUAGAGAAUACCAAGGCGCUUGAGAGAACUCGGGUGAAGGAACUAGGCAAAAUGGUGCCGUAACUUCGGGAGAAGGCACGCUGGUGUGUAGGUGAAGYCCCUGCGGRUGGAGCUGAGACCAGUCGAAGAUACCAGCUGGCUGCAACUGUUUAUUAAAAACACAGCACUGUGCAAACACGAAAGUGGACGUAUACGGUGUGACGCCUGCCCGGUGCCGGAAGGUUAAUUGAUGGGGUUAUCCGUAAGGAGAAGCUCUUGAUCGAAGCCCCGGUAAACGGCGGCCGUAACUAUAACGGUCCUAAGGUAGCGAAAUUCCUUGUCGGGUAAGUUCCGACCUGCACGAAUGGCGUAAUGAUGGCCAGGCUGUCUCCACCCGAGACUCAGUGAAAUUGAACUCGCUGUGAAGAUGCAGUGUACCCGCGGCAAGACGGAAAGACCCCGUGAACCUUUACUAUAGCUUGACACUGAACAUUGAGCCUUGAUGUGUAGGAUAGGUGGGAGGCUUUGAAGCGUGGACGCCAGUCUGCGUGGAGCCAACCUUGAAAUACCACCCUUUAAUGUUUGAUGUUCUAACGUUGGCCCCUWAYCGGGGUUGCGGACAGUGUCUGGUGGGUAGUUUGACUGGGGCGGUCUCCUCCCAAAGCGUAACGGAGGAGCACGAAGGUUAGCUAAUCCUGGUCGGACAUCAGGAGGUUAGUGCAAUGGCAUAAGCUAGCUUGACUGCGAGCGUGACGGCGCGAGCAGGUGCGAAAGCAGGUCAUAGUGAUCCGGUGGUUCUGAAUGGAAGGGCCAUCGCUCAACGGAUAAAAGGUACUCCGGGGAUAACAGGCUGAUACCGCCCAAGAGUUCAUAUCGACGGCGGUGUUUGGCACCUCGAUGUCGGCUCAUCACAUCCUGGGGCUGAAGUAGGUCCCAAGGGUAUGGCUGUUCGCCAUUUAAAGUGGUACGCGAGCUGGGUUUAGAACGUCGUGAGACAGUUCGGUCCCUAUCUGCCGUGGGCGCUGGAGAAUUGAGGGGGGCUGCUCCUAGUACGAGAGGACCGGAGUGGACGCAUCACUGGUGUUCGGGUUGUCAUGCCAAUGGCACUGCCCGGUAGCUAAAUGCGGAAGAGAUAAGUGCUGAAAGCAUCUAAGCACGAAACUUGCCCCGAGAUGAGUUCUCCCUGAGACUUUAAGUCUCCUGAAGGAACGUUAAAGACGAUGACGUUGAUAGGCCGGGUGUGUAAGCGCAGCGAUGCGUUGAGCUAACCGGUACUAAUGAACCGUGAGGCUUAACCU